RNAcentral lists this ribosomal RNA (643 nucleotides) under uncultured bacterium. RNAcentral's name for it is "bacterial SSU rRNA". It matches the Rfam family "Bacterial small subunit ribosomal RNA", at positions 202 to 842 of the family's 1533-position model. The record is from RNAcentral.
AAAGGAAGCGAUUCCGGCUACGGAUGGUCAUGCGUCGCAUUAGCUAGUUGGCGGGGUAACGGCCCACCAAGGCGACGAUGCGUAGGGGUUCUGAGAGGAAGGUCCCCCACACUGGUACUGAGACACGGACCAGACUCCUACGGGAGGCAGCAGUGAGGAAUAUUGGUCAAUGGCCGCAGGGCUGAACCAGCCAAGUCGCGUGAGGGAUGACGGUCCUAUGGAUUGUAAACCUCUUUUGUCAGGGAGCAAAGGGCGCCACGUGUGGCGCUUUGCGAGUACCUGAAGAAAAAGCAUCGGCUAACUCCGUGCCAGCAGCCGCGGUAAUACGGAGGAUGCGAGCGUUAUCCGGAUUUAUUGGGUUUAAAGGGUGCGCAGGCGGAAUGUCAAGUCAGCGGUAAAAUUUCGGGGCUCAACCCCGUCGUGCCGUUGAAACUGGCGUUCUUGAGCGAGCGAGAAGUAUGCGGAAUGCGUGGUGUAGCGGUGAAAUGCAUAGAUAUCACGCAGAACUCCGAUUGCGAAGGCAGCAUACCGGCGCUCAACUGACGCUCAUGCACGAAAGCGUGGGUAUCGAACAGGAUUAGAUACCCUGGUAGUCCACGCAGUAAACGAUGAAUACUAACUGUCCGGGCAGAAUGAUGCCUGG